Molecule: small nucleolar RNA, 189 nt
Organism: Symsagittifera roscoffensis
Lineage: Eukaryota; Metazoa; Xenacoelomorpha; Acoela; Convolutidae
Product: small nucleolar RNA U3
Exons: 1
Source: RefSeq, a predicted model, not a curated record
AAGAUCGUACUUUCAGAGAUCAUUUCUGGAGUGCGUAUUUUGGCCUUUCGAGGCAAUGUUGACUACCUUCGUCAGUCCGAUGAUGACAAAUACCGUCUUUCUUGAGCAUGAGAGUGUAGAUUAUCCUGGUUGUUUGUGUCGAUGAUUGCUUACCCUUUAAAGAAAAAGAGAGCUCGCUAUCUGAGGGCU